GAUGAACGCUGGCGGCGUGCCUAAUACAUGCAAGUCGAGCGAACGGACGAGAAGCUUGCUUCUCUGAUGUUAGCGGCGGACGGGUGAGUAACACGUGGAUAACCUACCUAUAAGACUGGUAUAACUUCGGGAAACCGGAGCUAAUACCGUAUAAUAUUUUGAACCGCAUGGUUCAAAAGUGAAAGACGGUCUUGCUGUCACUUAUAGAUGGAUCCGGGCUGCAUUAGCUAGUUGGUAAGGUAACGGCUUACCAAGGCAACGAUGCAUAGCCGACGUGAGAGGGUGAUCGGCCACACUGGAGCUGGAACAGGGUCCAGGGUCCUGAGGGAGGCAGCAGUAGGGAAUCUUACGCAGUAGGCGAAAACAUGGCGGAACAACGCCACGUGAGUGGUGGAGGUCUUGGGAUCGUAAAGCUCUGUUAUUGGGGAAAAACAUAUGUGUAAGUAACUGUGCACAGCUUGACGGUACCUGGUAAGAAAGCAACGGCUAACUACGUG
This 497-nucleotide ribosomal RNA is filed under the name uncultured bacterium. Its description in RNAcentral is "partial 16S ribosomal RNA". It matches the Rfam family "Bacterial small subunit ribosomal RNA", at positions 28 to 507 of the family's 1533-position model. The record is from RNAcentral.